CUUGAGCAUGUUGACAUUCAACAUGGCGGCAUGUCGUCAGUGCUGUGCUGUGUCGUGCUUGUGUAACUAAGAAACUCAAAAUUUAGAUUAGAAAAUUGAACGUAACCCGAGUUGUAAUUCAGCGCAAACCACUGGCCUUUGAAACAAUUCCUUCAAAUAAUCAACUGCAAAACGAUUCACCAAUUUGUACUACGAAAGAGCAACGGAAGACACAAGGCAACCAAAAACACAAAGUUUAACCAGUUCGUCAACACAUCGUUCGGGCGGCGAGAGAUUUUAAAGAGGAUUCAAGAGGAAAUUGCGCGACAUUGUGAUGAGAGUAUAUGGCACAAUCCAGACCCAGCACGCAUUGAAGACAUCUGAUGAUUUUUAGUUCAACCAUUUCAGUUUCCAUUUCUACGCAACUCGGUGUCGACUGUCGUAGCUGUUUUUACUUCAUUCAAGUCACCACAUCCCCCAACGUUGAUU
Dalotia coriaria is the source of this 468-nucleotide long non-coding RNA. RefSeq lists it as uncharacterized. The transcript has 2 exons. NCBI's taxonomy places the organism in Eukaryota, Metazoa, Arthropoda, Insecta, Coleoptera, Staphylinidae. The record is from RefSeq and is a predicted model, not a curated record.